Non-coding RNA from Erinaceus europaeus (western European hedgehog), 162 nucleotides. The record is from Rfam. Lineage: Eukaryota; Metazoa; Chordata; Mammalia; Eulipotyphla; Erinaceidae.
AUACUUUACCUGGUGGGGAGAUAACAUAAUCACAAAGGUGGCUUUCCCAGGAUGAGGCUUGUCCAUUGCACUCUGGAUGUGUUGAUCCCUACAAUUUCCCCAACUGUCUGAAACAUGGCUGCAUAAUUUGUGUAAGUGGGAAAUUGGGUUCACAUUUUCCCU